Molecule: ribosomal RNA, 403 nt
Filed under: Verrucomicrobiota bacterium
Lineage: Bacteria; Pseudomonadati; Verrucomicrobiota
Description: Verrucomicrobia bacterium partial 16S ribosomal RNA
Rfam family: Bacterial small subunit ribosomal RNA
Source: RNAcentral
UGGGGAAUAUUGCACAAUGGGCGCAAGCCUGAUGCAGCAACGCCGCGUGAGUGAAGAAGGUCUUCGGAUCGUAAAGUUCUGUUGCAGGGGAAGAUAAUGACGGUACCCUGUGAGGAAGCCCCGGCUAACUACGUGCCAGCAGCCGCGGUAAUACGUAGGGGGCUAGCGUUAUCCGGAUUUACUGGGCGUAAAGGGUGCGUAGGUGGUCUUUCAAGUCGGUGGUUAAAGGCUACGGCUCAACCGUAGUUAGCCUCCGAAACUGGAAGACUUGAGUGCAGGAGAGGAAAGUGGAAUUCCCAGUGUAGCGGUGAAAUGCGUAGAUAUUGGGAGGAACACCAGUAGCGAAGGCGGCUUUCUGGACUGCAACUGACACUGAGGCACGAAAGCGUGGGUAGCAAACAGG